RNAcentral lists this small nuclear RNA (159 nucleotides) under Oryzias javanicus (javanese ricefish). RNAcentral's name for it is "U1 spliceosomal RNA (ENSOJAG00000015728.1)". It matches the Rfam family "U1 spliceosomal RNA". Rfam says of the family: U1 is a small nuclear RNA (snRNA) component of the spliceosome (involved in pre-mRNA splicing). Its 5' end forms complementary base pairs with the 5' splice junction, thus defining the 5' donor site of an intron. Lineage: Eukaryota; Metazoa; Chordata; Actinopteri; Beloniformes; Adrianichthyidae. The record is from RNAcentral.
AUGGUUGCGGCGGAGAAGACCAAUCAGAGGCCGGAAAUGUCUACGGUGAGCGUAGACAUUGCCCUCCCCGGCUGCUCGCUCGUGAGCGAAUUCCCCAAAUGUGGGAAUCUCAACUGCAUAAUUUGUGGUAGUGGGGGACUGCGUUCGCGCUCUCCCCUG